AUGAAGUUGGACUGCUGGACGCUGCUCAAACAGUUGCACUCUAUUAACCAUGUAUGUUUUAUCAUUGUAGGUCCUGUUGGUCCUGCUGGCCAUCCUGGCCAACCUGGUCCUAAAGGUGAUAAAGGGGAACAAGGAGAAGCUGGAAUCAUAAUGGAAACCCGAGAGUCUAGAACUGCCAGCCAGUUUGGUGCUUCAGGUGUUUCCCAGGGUAUUCAGGGUAAACCUGGCCCACCUGGUCCCCCAGGACCUCCUGGACACCCAGGAGACUCUAGACCAGGACCUCCUGGACCACCUGGAGAACCAGGCCAGCCAGGUAAAAGUGAUUAA
This is a long non-coding RNA of Pygocentrus nattereri (red-bellied piranha), 327 nucleotides long. NCBI's taxonomy places the organism in Eukaryota, Metazoa, Chordata, Actinopteri, Characiformes, Serrasalmidae. The record is from Ensembl.